Molecule: long non-coding RNA, 1387 nt
Organism: Boleophthalmus pectinirostris (great blue-spotted mudskipper)
Lineage: Eukaryota; Metazoa; Chordata; Actinopteri; Gobiiformes; Gobiidae
Exons: 3
Source: RefSeq, a predicted model, not a curated record
UGGAGCAGAUGAAAAAAACGCGCUGCAAGAAACAAAGACAAAUGCAUCAUCAUCAAAUGCGCUGCAAAUAGAGAAACGAUGCAAAGUGCGAAACGAUGAAAACCAAGAAAACACCUGCAAAAGAAAAACGCUGCAUAAAGAGUCGCCACAACGGAAGUGCUCCAAACCUGCAGGGGGCGCUCAGUGUAACAGCUCAAUGGAGAGACACACCGGCUGGACAGGGAGAAAGGAUCUGCCUUUGAGAGACAGAAAACAGCUGACUGACGAUAAACUACAGCGGGGACUAAUGAUUGUUACGACUCCUGUAUGAGGACACAACUUACUGCUGGGGCCACAGAACUGUUGGCUGAUGAGACGCUCAUGAUUCAUGAAAUGGGUCAAAUGCAGAUGACAAAGUAAAGCCCACACUGCACUGGAGGUGCUGAACCAGACUCCUGCCACAGAUUAGGACCUGACUUUGAACCUAUCAGACAUAAGGCCCAUUCUGCUCUUCCUCCUCCAGAAGACGAGAGAUACAUCAGACUGAGUGGCCCAAGUACAAUGGUUCAUGCCUUCACUGUCCAUGUCCACACUCACUGAGGAGGAGGUCGUCCAGACUGCAGCACAUCUGUAGGGCCUCUGGUUGCAUCAGGCCUUCCUCCUGCUGUCUCUAAUGUGUGUUAAUAGUGAUGUGUCCUUAAAGUUUAGGUUUAACUUCUAAUUUCUUGCACAAGUAAAACAGUAAAAUGGUGGUUCCUUUUCAUCUUAGCUGAGGAGCACCUAAACAACUUCCAUCACUGAGGCAGUGUACCAUGAUAAAUGUGGCCUUAUAUGAUAUUACCAAGUGUGUGAGACAAAACUGAAAACAUAUCAUUUACUCAUAAGUUUUUCUGGAUGUUUUUCGUCUAUACUGACAUUUGUUUCAUGGUGAAAUGUGCCGUUUAUUUAGUGUCUCUUUUGGUAGUAACUGAUUACAUGCACUAUAAGAAUUUACUAUUGUACUGCAGUUAUGCAGUGAUAUUGGAGAUUUCUAGUACUGUAUACGUGUACUGGGACACUUCAUCCAGAACAGUACUCCGAUUAGAGAGUAGAAACAGACACAGGAAUGUAUUUUUUUGAGCUUUAAUGUCUUGUCUUCAAUCUUUUCAGCUGAUCGUUUGAUUUCGUCUGGUUCUCUCUAUCAUAGACACAGACUUUGGUUAAGGGAAAUGACCUGAAGCCAGAGCAGUCUAGUAGUCUAGUCUCCAGUAACAGUGUCACUUUGCAAAGAUAAUUUGUCCAUUUUGAAUUGUCACCUGGUUCAGUAAAAAGGUAACAGUUUGAGAGUACACUGACAUACAGUUGUUUGUACAAACCUAUUAAUGCAGUGUGUGCGUAAUGGGUUUAAUGUUUGACUAUUCACAUUAUG